CUGGGGCCUCGUGUCCUUCCCUCGGAGCCUCGGAAUCCCCACCGCUCCUCUCAGAAUCUGUGCUGAUAAAGGAGGUUGAAGGUGGCCUUCAUUUCAGUCCUUGGACAUGGCUUCGUGUAUUUAAUAUUUAGCCAUGAUACUCACAUAUAGUUCUUUUGACUUUUUUUUUCUGUUUUUUGAGACAGGGUCUCGCUCUGUCACCCACUUUGGGAGCCAGAUGGGGCUGAGUCUCCCUCUGGGCAUUCCUGCAUUGGUGCGUGGGUUCCGGGAGGCCAGCCUCGCACCUCCGUCUCCAUCUAACAUCUUGGGCGAGCGCGUGGUGGAGGGAGGGCAGGUGGAGGAGUGAACCACACACAAAGGAACGUCAGGGGCCUCUGUAGCCCUGAUGGGGUUCAGCCUCAGGUUUCCCUUGCACCCCAUGGGGAAGGGGCUGAGCCUAUGCCCUGACAUGCUGCCCGGGGGCUGGGAGUGGUAAGGGCUCCGGUGGCUUUGCGUAAUUUUUCUGCCUAGGGGGAGUGUGUCUCAGCAAGUGGACCUGGAGGCCUUGCCUGGGGUCCGAGUGCCACUGGGCGGGGGUGAGUGGACGUAUUUGGAGCCACAGGCCUGGAUUCCCAUCCGUCUCUGAAGGAGGCCUCCUGCCGGCCCUCCCAGGCACGCGUGUAACAUCCGUCUGUGAAGCAGGCCUCCUGCCGGCCCUCCCAGGCACGUGUGUAAGGGGAGGGCCCUUUCUUCACUCACAGGGCCUCUGGCACCACGCAUGGGGGGUCCUCCACACCGAGCAGUCCUCCUGCUCUCCAGACACCAGCUGGGCAUCCUGUAACUCAGUUCAAUUCUCACACCACCUUACUGGAACUAGCACAGACCCCGCAGGUUAAGGGCUCAGUCCCAUAAGAGUGCUCCCACUUUAGACGCCCAUUUCAAGCAGUGGCUCCCAGGACAUCCACACUUCUGUCUGACUUGAACAGUCGGGGUUCCCACACCUCUCCUGGGUUUGAUAGUUUGCUGAAGCAGCUCACAGAGCUCAGGGACAUGCUUUGCUUACAGUCGAGGGUUUGUGAUAGGGGACGGGUGCAGAUGAAUGGGCAGAUGAACAGGUACAGGGGUGAGGUCUGGAGGGAUCCCAAGAGCAGGUUCCUCCUUCUCCAUGCAGUUGGGGUGGCUGCCCUCCCAGCGCUCCAGCCGGAAGCUCUCAGAGCCUAGUUUCGGGUUGUUACGGAGAUUUCAUCACAUGGGUGUGGCUGAUUUCAUCCUUGGCCGUUGGCAGUUCACUCCAUCUCCAGCUUUCACCACUCCCUGGAAGUCAGGGUGGGGCUGAGCACUCUGGUCCUUCUGUCUCACAGUCGGUCCCCCUGCAGCCAGCCCCGUCCUGGGAGCUCCCGGUGACCCUUUCUCUCCUGGCUCAGUGCGCUUGCCAGACACCUGUCCACAGUUGCCACUAACAAGGGCCCCACUCACAGCUCAGCACUGCGCCAGAUCGGCCGUGGAGGGGCCGUCGUCAUUACUCAUGCUGUUCCAAGGUCGGGACUCAGGAUUUAAGGCGACUAUCCUGGAUCGCACAGCUGGACCAGAUGCGGAUGCGCUUUACACAGCUGCCAGCUUGAGGAUGGAAGAAAAGCGCAUUUCAUCAUCUGUUAUCCUGUGUUUCUGUGACCAUACUGAGUCCCGUGUGUCUUCUCAUGCUGCUGGCUGUGUGGAUCACCUUGUCUAGCUUGUUCUCACUUAAACUACUGGAUGGGCUCUCUUUUCCCUUUUCACCAUGUUUCUUCGCGACAGAGGCCGUCUUCUGCCCAGUUGCCUCCCACAUUUCCCCAGUCUACGGCUUGGCUUUUGACAUAUGCUUCUUCUCCCCAGGUCAUUAAAGACAGCUUUAAAUAGAUCCACGUGUCCCUGACAGCAUUUGAGUUUCCUUCUUGAAGAAGUGUAUAUAAACAUUCUCUUAAGUUUUGGGGUAAUAUGGUGAGAUUAUUUAUUACUUUCAGAUUUUAGUCUAUCUCUAGUUUGCUUUUUAAUAAAAUACUAGUUUUGUUCUUUUUUUCUCCCACGUGGAGAGUCAAAUAUGGAACC
Molecule: long non-coding RNA, 2064 nt
Filed under: Homo sapiens (human)
Lineage: Eukaryota; Metazoa; Chordata; Mammalia; Primates; Hominidae
Description: HSALNT0279257
Source: RNAcentral